AUUGAACGCUGGCGGCAUGCCUUACACAUGCAAGUCGAACGGCAGCAUGAUCUAGCUUGCUCGAUUGAUGGCGAGUGGCGCACGGGUGAGUAAUACAUCGGAACGUGCCCUGUAGUGGGGGAUAACUAGUCGAAAGAUUAGCUAAUACCGCAUACGACCUGAGGGUGAAAGUGGGGGACCGCAAGGCCUCAUGCUAUAGGAGCGGCCGAUGUCUGAUUAGCUAGUUGGUGAGGUAAAGGCUCACCAAGGCGACGAUCAGUAGCUGGUCUGAGAGGACGAUCAGCCACACUGGGACUGAGACACGGCCCAGACUCCUACGGGAGGCAGCAGUGGGGAAUUUUGGACAAUGGGCGAAAGCCUGAUCCAGCAAUGCCGCGUGUGUGAAGAAGGCCUUCGGGUUGUAAAGCACUUUUGUCCGGAAAGAAAUGGCUCUGGUUAAUACCUGGGGUCGAUGGCGGUACCGGAAGAAUAAGGACCGGCUAACUACGUG
Molecule: ribosomal RNA, 490 nt
Filed under: uncultured bacterium
Lineage: Bacteria
Description: partial 16S ribosomal RNA
Rfam family: Bacterial small subunit ribosomal RNA
Source: RNAcentral